GACGAACGCUGGCGGCGUGCUUAACACAUGCAAGUCGAACGGAAAGGCCCUGCUUUUGUGGGGUGCUCGAGUGGCGAACGGGUGAGUAACACGUGAGUAACCUGCCCUUGACUUUGGGAUAACUUCAGGAAACUGGGGCUAAUACCGGAUAGGAGCUCCUGCUGCAUGGUGGGGGUUGGAAAGUUUCGGCGGUUGGGGAUGGACUCGCGGCUUAUCAGCUUGUUGGUGGGGUAGUGGCUUACCAAGGCUUUGACGGGUAGCCGGCCUGAGAGGGUGACCGGCCACAUUGGGACUGAGAUACGGCCCAGACUCCUACGGGUGGCAGCAGUGGGGAAUAUUGCACAAUGGGCGGAAGCCUGAUGCAGCAACGCCGCGUGCGGGAUGACGGCCUUCGGGUUGUAAACCGCUUUCGCCUGUGACGAAGCGUGAGUGACGGUAAUGGGUAAAGAAGCACCGGCUAACUACGUGCCAGCAGCCGCGGUGAUACGUAGGGUGCGAGCGUUGUCCGGAUUUAUUGGGCGUAAAGGGCUCGUAGGUGGUUGAUCGCGUCGGAAGUGUAAUCUUGGGGCUUAACCCUGAGCGUGCUUUCGAUACGGGUUGACUUGAGGAAGGUAGGGGAGAAUGGAAUUCCUGGUGGAGCGGUGGAAUGCGCAGAUAUCAGGAGGAACACCAGUGGCGAAGGCGGUUCUCUGGGCCUUUCCUGACGCUGAGGAGCGAAAGCGUGGGGAGCGAACAGGCUUAGAUACCCUGGUAGUCCACGCUGUAAACGGUGGGUACUAGGUGUGGGGUCCAUUCCACGGGUUCCGUGCCGUAGCUAACGCUUUAAGUACCCCGCCUGGGGAGUACGGCCGCAAGGCUAAAACUCAAAGGAAUUGACGGGGCCCCGCACAAGCGGCGGAGCAUGCGGAUUAAUUCGAUGCAACGCGUAGAACCUUACCUGGGUUUGACAUGGAUCGGGAGCGCUCAGAGAUGGGUGUGCCUCUUUUGGGGUCGGUUCACAGGUGGUGCAUGGCUGUCGUCAGCUCGUGUCGUGAGAUGUUGGGUUAAGUCCCGCAACGAGCGCAACCCUUGUUCACUGUUGCCAGCACGUUAUGGUGGGGACUCAGUGGAGACCGCCGGGGUCAACUCGGAGGAAGGUGGGGAUGACGUCAAGUCAUCAUGCCCCUUAUGUCCAGGGCUUCACGCAUGCUACAAUGGCUGGUACAGAGAGUGGCGAGCCUGUGAGGGUGAGCGAAUCUCGGAAAGCCGGUCUCAGUUCGGAUUGGGGUCUGCAACUCGACCUCAUGAAGUCGGAGUCGCUAGUAAUCGCAGAUCAGCAACGCUGCGGUGAAUACGUUCCCGGG
RNAcentral lists this ribosomal RNA (1343 nucleotides) under uncultured bacterium. RNAcentral's name for it is "16S ribosomal RNA". It matches the Rfam family "Bacterial small subunit ribosomal RNA", at positions 28 to 1378 of the family's 1533-position model. The record is from RNAcentral.